GCUGAACUUAAGCAUAUCAAUAAGCGGAGGAAAAGAAACUAACAAGGAUUCCCCUAGUAACGGCGAGUGAAGAGGGAAAAGCUCAAAUUUAAAAUCUGGCGGUCUACGGCCGUCCGAGUUGUAAUCUAGAGAAGUGUUUUCCGCGCUGGACCGUGUACAAGUCCUUUGGAACAAGGCGUCAUAGAGGGUGAGAAUCCCGUCUACGACACGGACUGCCAAGCGCUUUGUGAUACAGUCUCUACGAGUCGAGUUGUUUGGGAAUGCAGCUCAAAAUGGGUGGUAAAUUCCAUCUAAAGCUAAAUAUGGGCGAAAGACCGAUAGCGAACAAGUACCGUGAGGGAAAGAUGAAAAGCACUUUGGAAAGAGAGUUAAACAGUACGUGAAAUUGUUGAAAGGGAAACGCUUGAAGUCAGUCGCGUCUUCAGAAAUUCAGCUGGGCUUCUGCCCUGUGUACUUUUCUGUGGGACGGGCCAGCAUCAGUUUCGGCUGCCAGAAAAAGGUGGGAGGAAGGUGGCACCUCCGGGUGUGUUAUAGCCUCCGAUCGUAUGUGGCAGCUGGGACUGAGGACCGCAGCACGCCUUCAUGGCCGGGNUUCGCCCACGUNACGUGCUUAGGAUGCUGGCGUAAUGGCUUUAAGCGACCCGUCUUGAAACACGGACCAAGGAGUCUAACAUGCCUGCGAGUAUUUGGGUGGCAAACCCAUAUGCGCAAUGAAAGUGAACGGUUGGGACUUCUGUCAUGGAAGGCACCGACGCCCGGACCAGACCUAUUGUGACGGAUCCGAGGUAGAGCAUGUAUGUUGGGACCCGAAAGAUGGUGAACUAUGCCUGAGUAGGGUGAAGCCAGAGGAAACUCUGGUGGAGGCUCGUAGCGAUUCUGACGUGCAAAUCGAUCGUCGAACUUGGGUAUAGGGGCGAAAGACUAAUCGAACCAUCUAGUAGCUGGUUCCUGCCNAAGUNUCCCU
RNAcentral lists this ribosomal RNA (964 nucleotides) under Geastrum saccatum. Its description in RNAcentral is "eukaryotic LSU rRNA". It matches the Rfam family "Eukaryotic large subunit ribosomal RNA", at positions 27 to 973 of the family's 3401-position model. Lineage: Eukaryota; Fungi; Basidiomycota; Agaricomycetes; Geastrales; Geastraceae. The record is from RNAcentral.